UAAGGAAUUUAAACGCUGCUUUGACCCUGUGGAAACUAAGGGAGAAGGUCCAAGAAGGCUUAAGAAUCUAUACUUCUUAUACUUAAUUGAGCUUCGCGCUUUAUCAAAGGUGGCCCUGUAUUUUGAACGCUCAAUUGUAGAUCUUUACACUGGAAAUGUAGAAGAAGAUGCUGACACAAAAAUGCUUCUACUGAAUAUCUUCCAAGAUACAAAGUAAGAAUUGGGUAUCCGUGAUCUGAAAUUCUGCACUCCGAAUAGGAAUGAGGUAAUGCUUGAAAUAAAACCGAAACUGACUCUGGAAAGUUAGGAAGAGGGAAAAUUAGAUCUGAGAAGGAUCAUGGUCAGUAGACCAGGAGAACAGCCUAGUCACACUUCAGAGUCGGCUCUAUUUUCAAACAGAACUUUGAGUUUUAUGUAGUAUCAAAGUUUAAUGCUAUUUUAUUUUAUUUUGAAGAUUUAUUUAUCUUAGAACAAGUGAGGGGAAGGGAUGUCAGCAGAUGAGAGGGAAAGAGAAAGAAAGAGAAUCUUAAGCAGACUCUAGGCAGAUUGCAGAGCCUGACUUGGGACUCAAUCCCACAACCCUUAGAUCAUGACCUGAGCCAAAACCAAGAACAGGAUUCUUAACUGACUGUGCCAUCCAGGUGCCCCAAAGCUUAAUGUGAUUUUAAUGGGGUUUUUUAAAACCAAUUUUUAAAAAUUUAACUUUUUCUUUCAUGUUCCAAGAUUCAUUGUUUAUGCACCACACCCAGUGCUCCAUGCAAUACAUGCCCUCCAUAAUACCCACCAUCAGGAUCACCCAACCACCACCACCCUCCUCUCCAAAACCCUCAGUUGCUGUUUAAAUUCAGAUGGUGCUAUCCACAUGAAAGUAGAUACCUAAGAGAACAUUAGCUUUACCUUAUAGAAUAUAUCUCUUCUUGAAAAAUGCUCUCUAUAGAAUUUCAGUUCACUGGUUGUUAAAAUGAGCAUGAACCAAAGUGUCUGAGAGGUUUGAAAUGGCAGGGGGGUGGGAGGUUGGGGUACCAAGGGCUGGGUAUUAUAGAGGGCACGGAUUGCAUGGAGCACUGGGUGUGGUGGAAAAAAUAAUGAAUACUGUUUUUCUGAAAAUAAAUCAAUUAAAAUAAAUAAAUAAAUAGAUAAAUAGAUAAAUAAAUAAAAGAAGUGUUUAGAGAUGCCUGGGUGGCUCAGUUGGUUAGGCAUGGUCCCAAUGCUGGGUCCUUGGGUCCUGGGGAUUGAGUCUGGCGUCGGGCUCCCUUCUUGGCAGGAGAGUCUGCUUCUCCCUCUCCCUCUGCCCCUCCCCCAUUCUGGUGUACUUGCUCUCUUUCUCUCUCAAAUAAAUAAAACCUUUUUUUAAAAGUUUUCAAAUUAUGCAUUAAAACUUAAAACAUCUUUUUAACAGAGUGUUGCACAUUUUUCACAUAAAUUGCUCUUAAGUUCAAUUUUUGAUGAUUUUUAUCAUGUAAUUUCUUUAAAACAUUACAGUCUUAUAAAUUACAAAGCCAUCUUAUGUUGCUUUACUCUUUUUUUGAGUCGUUUACAUGUGAACUGUGUGCCACCUUCCUGUGUUAUUAAACUUUACCCACAAGUAAAUUACAAAUUGUAAAUAUUUGUGGGGAUAGAAAAUUAUGCCAGAGCUCUACUAUAUAGUACGUGAAUUUUUCAUCUGUAACUUCUAGUGUUGUCAUUUCAUCACGCCCUUUCCCAUGCACUUUGACGAGAAAUCCAUGUUUGCAGGUGACAAAAAGGGGCCCAAGUCAUUAAAGGUAAAAUGUUCUUGAUUGGAGGACGGGGUUGGGGAGGGGAGAGCAGUUGACUGGCUGUGUUUUAAUCCCUUACAUCCAAACACUUCUUGCCCAGCCCUGCACCUCGUUGAAGUUGGUCUGACUGGGUUUUAUUAUAAAUGGCACAGAAAGCUCCUUCUCCAGACUUUGCAAUUCCUUUUGCCUUUCUAAGAAAGUUUGGCCGCCUCUUAGUGAAGCUUCUGUUGUUAACUGACCAGUGAAUAUGGCAACUUUGUAAAGGUUUUUUUAAAGGGUAUUAUUUUGAGAGAAAGUUUUCUUACUUUAAAAUCACAGUGCAUAUUGUUUUGAUUUUAAAAACCAUGACUGUUCACCACUUUGAAGGCAAUAAACAGUGUAUUUUCCUAAAGUUUAUUUUAUGGAAUAUUUUAUGGGAUGUUCAAGUUUCUGGAACUAUUAUGCUUUUGUCUUUAUAGACUCUAACAUAAAAGGCAAAAAUUACCUGUUACCCUGCGAUAUCAAAGGAGAAUGUAUUUUAGGAACAUUUUCAAACUUCAUGUUGGGAGCUCUUUGUUUUCAUUUGCUUACAGCAUAUCAGGGAAUACAUUAUAGCCUUAAAAUGUUCAUAAAAGUAUUUGAAAUCGAAUGGCAAAUAGUCUUCUGUUUGCAGCUCCAAGGUCUUAUAUAUGUAGUUCUGAAAUCCAGAAAACUCCAAAACUUGAAACAUUUUUCUUAUGUUUGGUGCCAAGUUAAUUUGUUGGCAAAACCUGACCUGUACUGACAAAAGGCUAUUUAUAGUGCUUUUUUAAAAAAAAUUCUGCUUUCUUUGAUUAUUGUGUUUUGCUACAGAACCAUUAAUGUAUAUGAUUGCUAGGUCUUGCUACACACUCUGGUGGGGUGUUUCAUAAGUAAUGCAUGUACUAUAUUUCUAAAAUUUGGAAUUCUCAAACACAUCUGGCCAUGAGAUAUUUUAGAUGCUCACUGAUAAAUGAGAACUGAGUGAUCCUCCAUUGGUAAGAGUCUCGUGGUGCUUCUUUGAAGUGAAGUAACUUAGUCACAACUGUAUUUUGGUUUUGAAAAGUGGUUUUGUUUUAUGAUUAUUUAGGGUAUAUUGCUAUUGAGGUAUUGACUAUAACAUUAAUUUAUUUUUGUAAUGUUUCCUAUUUUUUAAGUAUUUAUAUAAGUAACUCUGGUUCUCUUUGUGGAGGAGGAAGAUAGGAGUGAGAAAGGAACUAACUGUCAUCUAUGAAUUGCUGGAAAUUGUGUUUUCUAUUUUUCAAAGAAUUACAUUUCAAGAAUAUCUCCCAUAUAAUGGACUGUGUUGGAUGCGACAAAUGCAGAUUAUAGGGAAAAUUGCAGACUCAGCGUUUAGGAACUGCCCUGAAGAUACUAUUCUCUGAAAAAGAAAUCCAAAAGCUUCCAGAAAACAGCCCAUCUAAAGCUUCCAACUCACUCAACAGGAAAUAGUUGCUAUUUUAAAUGCUUUUGGAAGGUAAGAAUAGUUUUCACAGUGAGGACUUGCUGGGUUUUGCUGGUUUCAGCAAACUUCAAAGAUCAUCUUCUCUGCUAAAGUAGUUUUUUUGUUUUUUGUUUUUUUUUGUUUUUUUUUUGCUUUAUUUGGUCGACAAAGAGAGUUAUCUACUGUAUCCGCACUCACAAGCCAGGGUCUCAGCAGGUCACGGGAAAAAUUUAGUGUGAGAUAGGCAGUGUUUCUGAUAACCUUCUCAAUUUUGUGGGGAAUAUAACUUCAUAUUCAGCUGGCUAUAGCUUGGUCAAGUGUAAUAACGGUUCAGGAAAGGAAAACUUAGUUGAGAUUGUGAUGAAAGAAAUGAAAGAAGAGGAGAUGAAACCUCAUUGCUUUUUUUUUUUUUUUUUUGAAGAUUUUAUCUAUUUGAGAGACAGAGCAGAUGCACACAGGAGCAGGGGGUAGGGGCAGAUGAGGAGGGAGAGAGAGAAUCUCAAGCAGAUUCCAUCCAGCCCAUCUCAGGGCUCGAUUGCAUGACCCUGAGAUCAUCAUGACCUGAGCUGAAACCAGGGCUUGGAAGCUUAACACACUGAGCCACCCAGUGUGCACACACUGCUCUUUAUUUUUUAAGCUGAGGAGGCAUUUUCCCUCUGUUCAUUCUUAACCCCAUUUUCCCCUGCAUAGACCUAUAGUUUACUUUUGGUUUAUGCCACACAUGGUUUCAAACAAUAUGAAUUUGCCUGCAGAGAUAUAUAUGGUACCAACUAACUGAGGAAUAUAGAACAGAAGGAAAAGAAUCCGAGAAAAAUAAGAGAAAACUGUGCUGCCCUGGGAAAUAAAAAGUCAAGGAAGAAUUAUUUUUGUUUUUCUUUUUUUUUAAAGGCUGGGGAGCCAAGAGAUUCUUUCUUUCUUUCCUCUUUUUUUUUUGUUGUUGUUAAAGAUUUUAUUUAUUUAUAUGACAGGCAGAGAUCACAAGUAGGCAGAGAGGCAGGCAGAGAGAGAGGAGGAAAGAAGCUCCCUGCUGAGCAGAGAGCCCGUUGUGGGGCUCCAUCCCAGGACCCUAAGACCAUGACCUGAGCUGAAUGCAGAGGCUUUAACCCACUGAGCCACCCAGGCGCCCCAUUUCUUAUGUUUUCUUAACAAGCAUUUGUGAGCUAAAAGGGGCAGUGAAGUGAAAAAUAAAUUGUUCCUUCGCCAUUGUGUA
Molecule: long non-coding RNA, 4408 nt
Organism: Mustela lutreola (European mink)
Lineage: Eukaryota; Metazoa; Chordata; Mammalia; Carnivora; Mustelidae
Exons: 3
Source: RefSeq, a predicted model, not a curated record